RNAcentral lists this ribosomal RNA (444 nucleotides) under Candida albicans. RNAcentral describes it as "eukaryotic LSU rRNA". The stretch from base 110 to 263 matches the Rfam family "5.8S ribosomal RNA". Lineage: Eukaryota; Fungi; Ascomycota; Pichiomycetes; Serinales; Debaryomycetaceae. The record is from RNAcentral.
UUUCUUUGAACAAACUUGCUUUGGCGGUGGGCCCAGCCUGCCGCCAGAGGUCUAAACUUGCAACCAAUUUUUUAUCAACUUGUCACACCAGAUUAUUACUAAUAGUCAAAACUUUCAACAACGGAUCUCUUGGUUCUCGCAUCGAUGAAGAACGCAGCGAAAUGCGAUACGUAAUAUGAAUUGCAGAUAUUCGUGAAUCAUCGAAUUUUUGAACGCACAUUGCGCCCUCUGGUAUUCCGGAGGGCAUGCCUGUUUGAGCGUCGUUUCUCCCUCAAACCGCUGGGUUUGGUGUUGAGCAAUACGACUUGGGUUUGCUUGAAAGACGGUAGUGGUAAGGCGGGAUCGCUUUGACAAUGGCUUANGUCUAACCAAAAACAUUGCUUGCGGCGGUAACGUCUACCACGUAUAUCUUCAAACUUUGACCUCAAAUCAGGUAGGACUACC